Molecule: long non-coding RNA, 331 nt
Organism: Mercenaria mercenaria
Lineage: Eukaryota; Metazoa; Mollusca; Bivalvia; Venerida; Veneridae
Exons: 3
Source: RefSeq, a predicted model, not a curated record
GAUAAUAUCGCUUAUGGAAGUAACUGGAAUAAAUUUGGACUAUUUCCUUCGGAAGUUUACAGGACUGUCCUGUCAAAAGGCCUCCCUCGUGUUUACAUAUUUUGACAGGUCGAGUUGUUCUGGGACUAGGAACAAUGAUGAAUGAAUACCUGCACCAUGGAAACAAUGUCAUUUGCAAACUUUUUGAACCUGUGCUGGGCGUUCACAUUGACAUUUCUUGUUCAACAGGAAUACAUGAUGUCGACCAACAGUACAGAUAGAUGAAGAUAUAAAUUUAUUCAAAGAAAUAAUGGGACAAUGAAUGCUAAAAUUGCCAAGAAGAAGACUGCCA